UGUCAGAAGUGGGAUUUGAACCCACGCCUGCAAGAGUAGACUGCGACCUGAACGCAGCGCCUUAGACUGCUCGGCCAUCCUGAC
RNAcentral lists this transfer RNA (84 nucleotides) under Cordylochernes scorpioides. RNAcentral describes it as "tRNA-Leu". The record is from RNAcentral. Lineage: Eukaryota; Metazoa; Arthropoda; Arachnida; Pseudoscorpiones; Chernetidae.